This 67-nucleotide ribosomal RNA is filed under the name Elsinoe perseae. RNAcentral describes it as "partial 18S ribosomal RNA". Lineage: Eukaryota; Fungi; Ascomycota; Dothideomycetes; Myriangiales; Elsinoaceae. The record is from RNAcentral.
CCCUUUGCUGUUGCGAAUCACGUUGCUUCGGCGGGACCCCCCCCCUCCCCUUCUUCGAGAGAAGCGG